AAUUUAUUUAAUUAAUAUUUUUAUUAUAUUAAAAUAUUUUUAUAAAAAUAAUUUAAAUUUAAUUUGUUUUAGUAUUAAUUAAAAAAUAAUUUUUAAAUUUAUAGUUUAUUAGUAUUGUAAAAGAAAUUAUUUUAAAUAUUUUAAAGAAUUAUUUUUAGUACCUUUUGUAUCAGGGUUAAUUAAAAUUUUUAAUAUAUUUUUUAAUUUCUCAAAAUUUAUAGAGUUAAUUUUAUUAUUAAUUUAUUGUUUUAAAAAUAUUUAUAAAAUAAUAUUAGUUUAGAAAUUUAAUUCGUUAUAUUAUAUUUAGUUAUUUAAGAUUUAAAUUUAAUUUAAAAUUUUAAAAGUUAUAUUAAUUUUAAUUAAUUAUAUUUUAAAUUUAAAUUAUUUUAGGGAUAAGCUUAAAAUUUUAAUAAAAUAAAUUUAUUUAAUAAAUAAAUUUUAAGAUUAGAAAUUUUUAUUUUAAGUUUGUAAAAAUUUAUUAUUUUUUUAUGUUUUAAUUUAUUAUAAUUUUAUUUAUUUUUUAUAUUAAAUUUUAUAAAAUAAUUAUAUAUUUAUAGUAAUAAUGAUUAAAUUAGUAUAAUUUAAAUUUAUAAUUUAUGAAUUCGGCAAAAAUUAUUUUCAUCUGUUUAACAAAAACAUUGUAUUAAGUUUAAUUUAAUAUAGGAUCUGCUCAAUGAUUAAAUUAAAUAGCUGCAGUAUAUUGACUGUGCAAAGGUAGCAUAAUAAUUAGUCUUUUAAUUGAGGACUAGAAUGAAAGAUUUGAUGAGAAAUAAACUUUAUUAUUUAUAUAAUUAAAAUUUUAUUUUUAAGUAAAAAAGCUUAAAUUAUUUUAAGGGACGAUAAGACCCUAUAAAACUUUAUAAAUUUAUAGUUUUAAAUUAUUGGUUAAUAUAAUUAUUUAAAUUAAAAAAUUUAUUUUAUUGGGGUGAUAAAAAAAAAUAAUAAACUUUUUUUAAAAAUUAACAUUAUUUAAUGAGUUAUUGAAUUAAAAUUUUUAAUUAUAGGAUAAAGUUACUUUAGGGAUAACAGCGUAAUUAAUUUUUUAAGUUCAAAUUUAAAAAUUAGAUUGCGACCUCGAUGUUGAAUUAAGAUAAUUCUUAGGUGCAAAAUUUUAAGUUUUAGGUCUGUUCGACCUUUAAAUUCUUACAUGAUUUGAGUUCAAACCGGUGUAAGCCAGGUUGGUUUCUAUCUUUAAAAUUUUAUUUUAUUUUAGUACGAAAGGAUUAAAUAAAAAAAUUUAAUUUUUUUUAAAAAAUAUUAUUAUUUA
RNAcentral lists this ribosomal RNA (1267 nucleotides) under Schoutedenia ralumensis. Its description in RNAcentral is "16S ribosomal RNA". Lineage: Eukaryota; Metazoa; Arthropoda; Insecta; Hemiptera; Aphididae. The record is from RNAcentral.